GCAGCAGUGGGGAAUUUUCCGCAAUGGGCGAAAGCCUGACGGAGCAACGCCGCGUGAGGGACGAAGGCCUCUGGGCUGUAAACCUCUUUUCUCAAGGAAGAAGAUAUGACGGUACUUGAGGAAUAAGCCACGGCUAAUUCCGUGCCAGCAGCCGCGGUAAUACGGGAGUGGCAAGCGUUAUCCGGAAUUAUUGGGCGUAAAGCGUCCGCAGGCGGCUUUUCAAGUCUGCUGUUAAAGCGUGGAGCUUAACUCCAUCAUGGCAGUGGAAACUGAAAGGCUUGAGUAUGGUAGGGGCAGAGGGAAUUCCCGGUGUAGCGGUGAAAUGCGUAGAUAUCGGGAAGAACACCAGUGGCGAAGGCGCUCUGCUGGGCCAUUACUGACGCUCAUGGACGAAAGCCAGGGGAGCGAAAGGGAUUAGAUACCCCUGUAGUCCUGGCCGUAAACGAUGAACACUAGGUGUCGGGGGAAUCGACCCCUUCGGUGUCGUAGCUAACGCGUUAAGUGUUCCGCCUGGGGAGUACGCACGCAAGUGUGAAACUCAAAGGAAUUGACGGGGGCCCGCACAAGCGGUGGAGUAUGUGGUUUAAUUCGAUGCAACGCGAAGAACCUUACCAGGGUUUGACAUCCUGCGAACCUCUUAGAAAUUUGAGGGUGCCUUCGGGAAUGCAGUGACAGGUGGUGCAUGGCUGUCGUCAGCUCGUGUCGUGAGAUGUUGGGUUAAGUCCCGCAACGAGCGCAACCCACGUUUUUAGUUGCCAGCAUUUAGUUGGGCACUCUAGAAAGACCGCCGGUGAUAAACCGGAGGAAGGUGUGGAUGACGUCAAGUCAUCAUGCCCCUUACACCCUGGGCUACACACGUACUACAAUGCUACGGACAAAGGGCAGCUAACUCGCGAGAGCUAGCAAAUCCCAUAAACCGUGGCUCAGUUCAGAUCGUAGGCUGCAA
Molecule: ribosomal RNA, 946 nt
Filed under: marine metagenome
Description: bacterial SSU rRNA
Rfam family: Bacterial small subunit ribosomal RNA
Source: RNAcentral